UCUCCUGACCUGAUGAUCCACCCGCCUCAGCCUCCCAAAAUGUUGGGAUUACAGGUUUGAGCCACCGUGCCCAGCCUCAGCUAUCACUUUUAAACAGAUUUUUGGUGAAUUCAUCUUUCUCCAACUUGUUACAUAAAUACAGGCCCUGAUCUGAAAUCUAAUGUAAGCUUUUCUCUGUGAUAUUGACAGUUCCUCUUUUGUGUUGCCAGAAGGAAAAGUGGGUUUGCCCAAGCAGUAUCAGGUCCUUCCACAGAAAGCGGCUUACAGUACUUCGGGCUCCAACUUGAAUUCUCUUAAACAAGGAAAUAUCCUAGCUCAACAUCGUAAGAACUCUGCGAAUGAGGAGGCUCUGGGUUGGCUGAUUCAGCAGCUCAGUUAACUCACUAAGGACUCGUAUUUUCCCAUCUUCACGCUGACAUCUUUAAUGAGGACACUGAGGCACAGGAAGUCAAGAAACCUGCACAAAGCCAUGCAACAACCAGCCGGACAAUCAGGCCCUAGGGAAGGAGGCCACCUGGACAGCACCAUGGCGACACAGAGGGCACCAGAUAUGGGAAAGUUUCUCUCUGAGACCAUGUUUGCUUCUGUUUCUCAAGCCAAGUUAAUUCUCUCCUAGAACAAUGCCAGUUAGAAAUGGGGGAAGCUACUGAAAUACCUUUGGUGGCUUGUCUUGCAUCGAUAUUAUUUUCUCCCACUGAGGAGUUAGAGGGUUUCUGGUUAUGAGCUAUGUAAAUUCUUUGGCUCAUUCUUUUUUUUCCAUCCUUCCCUCCAUGGUCCAUCAGGAAAAUCAUGGUUAAAUGAGUGAGUAAAAGCUUAUGAUUUGCCCGUCCA
Long non-coding RNA from Gorilla gorilla gorilla (western lowland gorilla), 831 nucleotides. RefSeq lists it as uncharacterized. Lineage: Eukaryota; Metazoa; Chordata; Mammalia; Primates; Hominidae. The transcript is spliced from 3 exons. The record is from RefSeq and is a predicted model, not a curated record.